Molecule: ribosomal RNA, 261 nt
Filed under: uncultured prokaryote
Description: partial 16S ribosomal RNA
Rfam family: Bacterial small subunit ribosomal RNA
Source: RNAcentral
UACGUAGGUGGCAAGCGUUAUCCGGAUUUAUUGGGCGUAAAGAGCGCGCAGGUGGUUGAUUAAGUCUGAUGUGAAAGCCCACGGCUUAACCGUGGAGGGUCAUUGGAAACUGGUCGACUUGAGUGCAGAGGAGGGAAGUGGAAUUCCAUGUGUAGCGGUGAAAUGCGUAGAGAUAUGGAGGAACACCAGUGGCGAAGGCGGCUUCCUGGUCUGUAACUGACACUGAGGCGCGAAAGCGUGGGGAUCAAACAGGAUUAGAUA